UACGUAGGGGGCUAGCGUUGUCCGGAAUCAUUGGGCGUAAAGAGCGCGUAGGCGGCCAGAUAAGUCCGGUGUGAAAGUCAAAGGCUCAACCUUUGAAUGCCGCUGGAAACUGUCUGGCUAGAGUCCGGGAGGGGCGAGUGGAAUUCCUGGUGUAGCGGUGAAAUGCGCAGAUAUCAGGAGGAACACCGAUGGCGAAGGCAGCUCGCUGGGACGGUACUGACGCUGAGGCGCGAAAGCGUGGGGAGCGAACAG
This 252-nucleotide ribosomal RNA is filed under the name uncultured bacterium. RNAcentral's name for it is "partial 16S ribosomal RNA". It matches the Rfam family "Bacterial small subunit ribosomal RNA", at positions 524 to 775 of the family's 1533-position model. The record is from RNAcentral.